UGAAACAUCGCGAAGGCUCUGGUUCAACGGGAAGAUUCUUUGAUUAAACUGCGCCAAUCACAAAACAGAAUUAGUGGUUUUAGUAUUUAGUACAGAUUCUGUACUAACAGCACUAAUUCUGUUCUGUGAUUGACACGGUUUAUAAAUCAAAGAAUCUUCCUGUUGAACCAGAGCUUUUGCAAUGUUUCAAUUCAUUAUUUACUGUCAAAGGCUUUGGAAUCCAGGGUUGUGCUAUCGUAACAAAAGAGGAACAUUUGUUUUUUGAAAUGAAAUAGAACAUAUAAUUAUAUCAUUUUAAUGACUUGCUUCCGAUUUUCAGAGAGGUCUUGGAAACAUUAUUAAUUGUUGAUACUUUUGAAAUAUUCAGCAACUUGCCGAUGAAAUUUUUAUAAAAUAUUGCCAUAAAAUAUAUAACAUUCUAAGACUAAGGCUAUAUAUAUAUUGAUACUAUUGAUACUAUAGUGCUGUUCCAACGUACAAUAAUGUGAAAAAAAGAAAAGAAAAAAAGAGAUGAAAAAGUUUUUUCCCCCCGUCGAUGACACUUGUGACGUCAGGUACAUACGGGACUUUGGAGGCGGGUUUUGGCGGGAAAAUCUGUAAUGUUUGGAGAAGACAAGAUGGCGCUGGUUACCUCGUGUUAUAUCAAACGGCAUUUUUGUUCACAAAUACCCGCUUAUUUUACGUUAUAGUGACUGGUUCGUUUUGGAAAUUAUAACUCAAUGGACGGGGAAAAUGAUUCUGUAUUAAAGAGAAAAUGAUGUGCAGUUAUUGUGAUGUUAUUUGUUGUGAAAGACGGCCCGAAAUUUCGCUACUUCGCAGUACUGGUUUAUAAAACAUUUACAAGCAACAGCAAUUGAACUAUAUGAUAAAGAAACCAAUGUAUACAAGCCAAUCAAGUUCUUCAGUUUAAAGGUCUGUUUACUCUUUAAUAAUUAGUUCAUUUAGUUGUACAUUAAUACGAAGUACUGGAACAGUACGCCUAGUCACAGAAUAGGAAGGUAUACCCAUUGUCCAUUGAACUAAAAAUAAACAGAAGCAGUCCCCCUCCUGGAAAUACUAAAAAAGGCGUAUGUCCAGGGCAUAGAUGAUUGAUCAUACCAGAUGUCUCACUGUGUAUAUACCUCUAUGAUUUUUGUGUCCGCGAUUUUCGCAAGGCUAUCACGCCAGAUGACGCGUGCGACACUUACUGCCAAAAUGGCGCUUACUGCCAAAAUGCGUGAUUGGUCACGUUUCAUGGCGUGGAUCAACCUCGUCCCCAGGGUCUUCUUCGUGCAUGGCGCGUGAAAAAUGAGAAGACCCUGGUAAAGGCUGUGAAAAUCUCCACGAUUCAUGGACAUUUUAGUGCAUGCGCAAAAGCGAAUUUGCCUUGGCGCUGACCAAUUCAUUGCUGGCGUCCAAAUUUUUCAUGGCCUUCUUGAGAUGAAAUAUUUCACUUUGGAAAUGUAUUUUUUUGCUAAAAUAUACCUCUAGAUAAGUAAUUUCUCUUCAAAAAUUAAGAUGUCUAGAGAGAGAAAGUAACAAGAAGCUAGCACGUCUAAUUUUUAUCUCCCUGGCCGAAGAAUUCGCGUUGUUUGUCAUGUCUCACGGCUGCUUGCACUGGCAGUCUGACAACACUGUCACUGUGAAGGUAAUUGAAAAACUACAAUAUAUUAUUGUUAUUUAUAUUAUAAUUCAACAUAUAAUGGCCCUAUGACUGGUGCUAAUAUGCCUACAAAGUAUUUUUUUAAAGCGCUUAGUUUUGAGAAAUUAUAAUUUGAUAAUGAAAAUUUACUAGUGGGCCAUAGACUCAUAUCCAUUUUACACUGUGAACGUUGGCACUUGUUUAAGUUAUUUUGACUAAAAAUUAUCGCAUGUUAAUAAAUACUCAAGUAUAUAAUAAUACUGUAAUUUAUAGUUUAUUCCCUUGGAGCAUGCAAAGUGCCUACAUGUGGAAUAAUUUGCCUUAGAUCCACAGCUCUCAUACAGAUUAGAACUCCCAUAAAUUCUUUUACACAUCCUAGUACAUUUUACCAUUCUAAAAGUGCAUUUCUCCAUCCCCUUUCAGACAGCAGAAAUUUCAUUUGUAUUGUGAGUUUAUAUUGUGCACUGAAUGGUGAAUCAGUAAAACUAAAAGAUUGCCAACCAGUUUAGAGAUAGUUUUGUUCAAAUGUAACUUAUGUAAGUAUGUUUCUCUCUCAAUUAGAAAUAAAUCUACUGUUAAUAAAUUAAUUGGAUAGAUUUAGUGUAACAUAUAGAUUUAGGUUUCCAGUUUGUGAAAUGAAAUGCAAAUCAAUUGUAUUAUAUUUUAGAUAUUCAUGCUUCUCAAAUUUCAAUAUGGAUAAAACAAGAACUGUCAAGAAGACUGCAACUGUAUAUGUACAACUUAAUGGGGAUGGGAAUGCUGUUAGUCUUCGCAUCUAGGAAUGUUGCUAAUAUGAGAUUAUUAAGAAAACCGCAAAGUCAACAACUAUCCUAGAUUCCAUAAUAUUAGGAAGCUGGCUCAACUAUACUUAAUAUUCUGGUAAUACUCAAGAAAGUGACAUGGCAAUUCAACAAUGCAUAUACAACAGAACAAGAUAUUUCCAUACCAAGACAAUUCUUACUGAAUUAGUAUUUAGCUGAUAUUUCAUUUUUUACAGUAUUUAAAGUUAUAUACAGUGCUGUUUUAAGUUAAAUACCAAAGUUACUUGGUUCAAAAUCUGGUCUUUGUUUUUCCUUCUCUGUACUGUGCAAGGGUAAAGAAAAGAGGUGGUAAUAUGCAUCCUCACAUGCGGCUGAUAGGAACUCUCACUCAUAUGGAAAAUGAAUUGGGUCGUUCCAGAAAAGAUCCAUACUCCCCGAUGGAGGAAAUUUCUGCCGUCUGGAGGGGGAGGGGAGAAAAAAUUGUUUCUGAUAAUAGUAAAUGUAUUAGGACAUCUGAAGGGGGUUAACUUCCUAUUUCCUCUGUGGGGGUGGUAUGGAUGUUUUCUGGAAUGACCCAUUCUCAUAAAGUAAGCCUUGGAGCUUUUUUGAAAUCGAUUUCAUUCAUGCUUCAACAACCGAUCCCCUGCAUGUACAUCAUUGCAAAAUGUGCAGCCAGCCUGCAAUGUCCAAACCACAGUUGUCCACAACAUUUGUUCUCAUUGAGCUGUCCAUUGAUGAGGAAGUGUAGUGUGGAGACAAACAAUUUUGAUUUGGCUGCAUUUAUUUAAACACUUGCUUUAUUAUACCUCCCUCACUGAUUCAAUAGUUGCUAAUGUAAAUUUGUACUAGCUCUGCAGGACAGAUGUGUUCAAUUUUUCCUAUAUGGUAUGGAAUAAAGAUCAUGCUGUUAGUGUUACAUGCAUGCAAAUGGUAAUUCACAAUGAUGUAAAGGCUACUGAAAUUCAAUUAUGGGUUGUCCAGAACUACCAACAUUUCCUGAAGUGUACAAACUAUAUGCUUCAGGUAGGCGGGUUCAUAACCAAUAUUCAUCGGUUAAGUCGCUGUGGGAGGGGGUUGAAAAGUGUACUCUCUGUACACCUGUGAUAAUUAUGGAUGAUUUACAGUGUAACACUAAUGCUAGAUUUAACUGAAAAUAAUUUUAUAGUUAUGUUGAAUAUAUUUUAAAUGUUCCAUUUGUGGCAUCCAUUCUUGGUGGUCAGUGGCAUCCAUUCUUGUGGAAAAUUCAAGUAGCUGUGCUCCAGCAGUUGGCUGCAGUGGCACAAAUUAUUGACAUAACCAAAAUUUUAAUAUUGCAUAGGAUCUUAGAUUCGUUUUUAUUAUUUCCUGGUGUCCUAUGAGCCCAGCAAGAACUGCUUAUUUUAUUAUUAUAAUUUUUAAACAUGUAACAAUUAAGCUAUACAAACAGCAAUCGUUCUGUGCCUCUAUUUCUGCUAUAAAAAUGCAUAUUCAUCUGAGACUGAUAUUAAACUGUCACAUGAAGCAGACAAGAGGUUUUCGUACUAGUUAAACAAGUGGUAGUAUUUGAGAGGAACUAAACGUCACAAACGCAAAUGGUUCUGUGGUUUGUUUGAUCAUACAGUGUGUGUAUAUAUUCAUACCUUCGAUAACGAUGUGAGCAUAAGCUGUCUCAACUUUGAAGUACCAAAAUGAUGUCUUGUGCCUGAUAUUAGGCUGAAAGUUGGAAAAUAUUUGCCAGAAACGAGCUUCGCGCCUUGGCGAAGCAUGCAUUUUACUACAAACAAAUUAUUGUUGUGAAAAUCCUUGUAAAUCAUGCAACCAAUCGUAGGGCUCAUUACAAGAAUUAUUUAGCGGUAAACCAAUCAUAUUCAUUAUAACAACAUCCUCAAAGCACAUUCAAGGUCAAAUGUAUAAACCAAUCACAACGCAGUUUAGAACAGCCUUUACCAGGGUCUUCUCAUUUUUCACGCGCCAUGCACGAAGAAGACCCUGGGGACGAGGUUGGGCGUGGAUUACACUUACUGCCAAAAUGGCGGCCAAU
This is a non-coding RNA of Paramuricea clavata, 4402 nucleotides long. Lineage: Eukaryota; Metazoa; Cnidaria; Anthozoa; Malacalcyonacea; Plexauridae. The record is from the annotation of a GenBank genome assembly.